Crotalus tigris (Tiger rattlesnake) is the source of this 1232-nucleotide long non-coding RNA. RefSeq lists it as uncharacterized. The transcript has 3 exons. NCBI's taxonomy places the organism in Eukaryota, Metazoa, Chordata, Lepidosauria, Squamata, Viperidae. The record is from RefSeq and is a predicted model, not a curated record.
AGUCCCAUUCUGCAAACGGUGCUGCACCAGUUGAGUAGUCCUCGACUUAAGACCGGUUGAGUAGUCCUCGACUUACGACCGGUUGGGGGUCACGGCAUUAAAAAGGUUGAAAACCACUGAUCUAAGAGAACUCUCGGCUUGCAAUUAUAACAGCUAAAAAUGGCCGCCACUGCGGUAUAGACUGAAACUAAGUGACAUGGCUACACAGGCCUCUUUUUGGUCAUAAUUUUGAAAUUCUACUGUAAGUAGCCUUUCUGAAUUAAUUUGUUUUUGUGAAAACUCGCUAAUGAAACGCUAGUACCUGGGGAAUUACCUGUAAAUGUCUCCAGUGUGGAAAGAGCUUUACUGAAGAUUUAAAGAUCUCCGUAAAUAAAGAAUUUACACAGGAGAGAAACCCCAUGAAAGCCUGCAAUCUGGAAGGAGCUUCAACAGGACAGGAUCUCUGUAUAGACAUCAAAGCAUUCACACAGGAGGAAAAGUAUAUAAAUGUCUGGAGAGCGGAAGGAACUUUAGUCAGAGGGGAAACCUUUACAGGCAUCAAAGACGCCAUUCAGGAGAGAAAUCAUAUAAACGCCUGGAGCGUGGAAAGAGUUUCAGUGGACAAACUAUUAUAUAUAUUAAAGACUAGAGAUUUCUCUAGGAAAGAAAUCAUAUCACUGUCUGUGUGUAGAAAGGGAUUCUGUGAGAAGGGAAUUCUUUAUAAGCAUCAAUCCACUCGGGAGAAAAAGCAUACAAAUGUCUUGAGUGUGGAAAGAGCUUUAUUGUCAGUGGACACCUCCAUCGACAUCAAAGGACUCACAUGGGAACCAAAUUCUAAAUAUGCCUGUGUGUGGAAAGUCCUUUGAUCACAACAGUGCCACUAAAAUGACAAUAGCAUUUCGACCGAUAUACCGCCCCAUAGUGCUUUACAGCGCACUCUGGUAGAUUUACAAGGGGCAUGUAAUCUUAAGAGUACAAGUUUAUUGAAUCCCACAAACUCGAAUCACGAUUUCUUCGGAUUGGUGAGCGGAAUAAUGUGGCUGUAAAACAGGUCGGUUGUACAGGUCGCCUUAAACAACUUCAGCGGUGAAGUACUAAACUACAGGUAAUCCUCAAGCUUUCCGUGCCAAGGCAAUUAAAUCGAAGUGGUCUGAGCCUUGACAAGUGCUGCUCAGCACCCCCACUGCAGUAAAGGUUGAGGGGCUAAAGGCGUAGGUCCAUGGAUCCAGAAUGAAGAAGGUGUCGCCUCCAUC